CCCCGUACGAACUACUGUUUGACUAGCCUUGCCACUCAUUCCGAUUUCACAGUCAUUGAUCAUCGCCCCCCCCGUACGAACUACUGUUUGACUAGCCUUGCCACUCAUUCCUAUUAGCCGGACUGGACGAGCUGAUCACUCGGAGUCGCGGGUGGAAAAAAAACAGAAAAUUCAACCCCUUGAUGGCAAUGUUGAUGGUAAUCACGCGGGACGCGUGAAAGUCAGGAAGGGCCGUAUAAGAACAGCGAGAAGGCAUCCCGGUUCGGGCCCCGUUGUUAUGCUAAGGCGCGACAUCGGGGAACCACGAAAACUAUCAACAAUUAGCCAGAAAGGGAAAACAAAUAGAGAACAGAACGGUUGUGCUAGCGAAG
Molecule: long non-coding RNA, 371 nt
Organism: Agrilus planipennis (emerald ash borer)
Lineage: Eukaryota; Metazoa; Arthropoda; Insecta; Coleoptera; Buprestidae
Exons: 3
Source: RefSeq, a predicted model, not a curated record